GAUGAACGCUGGCGGCAGGCUUAACACAUGCAAGUCGAGCGGAAACGAGAAUAGCUUGCUAUUCGGCGUCGAGCGGCGGACGGGUGAGUAAUGCUUGGGAAUAUGCCUUAUGGUGGGGGACAACAGUUGGAAACGACUGCUAAUACCGCAUAACGUCUACGGACCAAAGGGGGCUUCGGCUCUCGCCUUUAGAUUGGCCCAAGUGGGAUUAGCUAAUUGGUGAGGUAAUGGCUCACCAAGACAAUGACACCUAACUGGUUUGAGAGGAUGAUCAGUCACACUGGAACUGAGACACGGUCCAG
This 302-nucleotide ribosomal RNA is filed under the name uncultured Pseudoalteromonas sp. RNAcentral's name for it is "bacterial SSU rRNA". It matches the Rfam family "Bacterial small subunit ribosomal RNA", at positions 28 to 334 of the family's 1533-position model. The record is from RNAcentral. Lineage: Bacteria; Pseudomonadati; Pseudomonadota; Gammaproteobacteria; Alteromonadales; Pseudoalteromonadaceae.